GAUGAACGCUGGCGGCGUGCUUAACACAUGCAAGUCGAACGAAGCAUUUAGAACAGAUUACUUCGGUUUGAAGUUCUUUAUGACUGAGUGGCGGACGGGUGAGUAACGCGUGGGUAACCUGCCUUGUACUGGGGGAUAGCAGCUGGAAACGGCUGGUAAUACCGCAUAAGCGCACAAUGUUGCAUGACAUGGUGUGAAAAACUCCGGUGGUAUAAGAUGGACCCGCGUCUGAUUAGCUAGUUGGUGAGAUAACAGCCCACCAAGGCGACGAUCAGUAGCCGACCUGAGAGGGUGACCGGCCACAUUGGGACUGAGACACGGCCCAGACUCCUACGGGAGGCAGCAGUGGGGAAUAUUGCACAAUGGAGGAAACUCUGAUGCAGCGACGCCGCGUGAGUGAAGAAGUAAUUCGUUAUGUAAAGCUCUAUCAGCAGGGAAGAUAGUGACGGUACCUGACUAAGAAGCUCCGGCUAAAUACGUG
RNAcentral lists this ribosomal RNA (481 nucleotides) under uncultured bacterium. RNAcentral's name for it is "partial 16S ribosomal RNA". It matches the Rfam family "Bacterial small subunit ribosomal RNA", at positions 28 to 507 of the family's 1533-position model. The record is from RNAcentral. RNAcentral also lists the same sequence under 1 other name.